Molecule: ribosomal RNA, 240 nt
Filed under: uncultured eukaryote
Lineage: Eukaryota
Description: partial 18S ribosomal RNA
Rfam family: Eukaryotic small subunit ribosomal RNA
Source: RNAcentral
GGAAAUCUCACCAGGCCCGGACACUGGAAGGAUUGACAGAUUGAUAGCUCUUUCUUGAUUCUGUGGGUGGUGGUGCAUGGCCGUUCUUAGUUGGUGGAGCGAUCUGUCUGGUUAAUUCCGAUAACGAACGAGACCCCAACCUGCUAACUAGCCCUCGGGUCCUGCUUCUGUUGGGCCCGACGGAAUGAUUCGCUUCUUAGAGGGACUCGCGGCGCCUAGCCGCACGAAGGGGGGCGAUAA